Molecule: ribosomal RNA, 777 nt
Filed under: uncultured Neocallimastigales
Lineage: Eukaryota; Fungi; Neocallimastigomycota; Neocallimastigomycetes; Neocallimastigales
Description: partial large subunit ribosomal RNA
Rfam family: Eukaryotic large subunit ribosomal RNA
Source: RNAcentral
CGAGCACGCGCGUGUGGCAUAUCAAUAAGCGGAGGAAAAGAAACUAACAAGGAUUCCCUUAGUAACGGCGAGUGAAGCGGGAAGAGCUCAAAUUUGAAAUCUUCAAGGUUCUACCUUGACGAAUUGUAGUUUAUAGAAGUGUUUUCUGUUAGUGGAGUGGCAAAAGUUCUUUGGAAUAGGACAUCAUAGAGGGUGAGAAUCCCGUAUUUGGUCAUUCCUUCCUAGCGUUGUGAUACACUUUCAACGAGUCGGAUUGUUUGGGAAUGCAGUCCAAAAUGGGUGGUAAAUUUCAUCUAAAGCUAAAUAUUGGCGAGAGACCGAUAGCGAACAAGUACCGUGAGGGAAAGAUGAAAAGAACUUUGAAAAGAGAGUUAAGCAGUACGUGAAAUUGUCAAAAGGGAAGCGUUUGACACCAGUGUUGUUUUUACCGAAAAUCAAUUACGAAUGUUUUGUUUUUGAGGAGUUAUGACUUCAUCGGCUUGCUCCUUUCUUUAUGAAACUUUCUUAAUGCACUUUUCGGUUAACAAGUCAACAUCAAUUUCUUUUGUUGUAAAAGGGUAUGAGGAAGGUGGCUUUCUUUUCGGAGAAAGUGUUUAUAGCCUUGUGCCUCUGCAAUCGGAGAGAUUGAGGUCUGCAGCGUAGAUCCUUCGGGGUUAGAUACAGUUUGUGCUAAGUUAUAGCUUUUCAUAGACAACUUGUUGACUAUGUUUAGUCUUGUAGCUUACUCGCUUAUGCUAUUUUACCUACGCUUAGGAUGUUGAUGUGAUACUGCGAGCA